GUUUCAAUAGCUGGGUAGCGCCUCGAUUUUUCUCAUAAUUUGUAAAGUUGGCCAUUAGUAGGUAUGGGAUCGUUAUCAACUGAUUUUUUAAAAAAAACAUUAAUGUCUCAACAAUAUUUUUAUCUUGUCCAAAAGCAAUAGAAAGUUACAAAUGCCUGUAUCACAUCAAUCAGGUGUAGUAUGUAAGUAGGUGGUUGCCAUAACUUCUAGUAAGAACUUAUAGACCGAGGAAAAAAAUAGCAGGUACACAAAUCCAUCUCGUAUUCACGUAAGGUCCGAGAAAAGUUAUAAUUUACGAAUUGUGAUAUAUAUAACCAGUGGCGGAGCCACCCUUAUUCACGCUCUUUCACCGGAAAAUAAUACUGUGAUAGUUAUUUUAGGUAUAUUUUUCUUAAAAGUUGAAUAUUUAGAACGGGUUGAUAAUUUUUAACACAAAACAAACUCUUAGGUCAAUGGUUAAGGGAUGUCAAAAAUAUAGAAGGUUGCGAGUUCCAUUCCCCAUAGGAGCAAUUUUUUUUUUCCGACAUCUAAUUCCUGGCUCCGCCACAACAACUUUACCGUUACCCAAGACUUCUUCUUAACAUAAAUAAAGAUAUAUGGGGAAAAAGUGCACAUAAAUA
Molecule: long non-coding RNA, 620 nt
Filed under: Nicotiana benthamiana
Lineage: Eukaryota; Viridiplantae; Streptophyta; Magnoliopsida; Solanales; Solanaceae
Description: long non-coding RNA (NBEN_LNC042495)
Source: RNAcentral